UCUUUGAACUUCUUAUUGACACCAAAGGUUUGGAAAAUGUUCUAGACAUCAUACUGCCGUAAUGGUUGGUCCUUGUUCAACCCAGCUUGCCAGAAACAAAAAUAAUUGAUGGUUCUAAUGAUUGCAUUUUCAAGAGUCUUUCAUGGGGACUGGUUUUUUACCAGUGUUGAUCGCAACAGUUUAGCCUUGAAUUAAAUUUCCAAGAUCCUUCUUGUUCAACUGGCUGAUUUGAUUCUCAACUAUGGUGGGCCUGUUAAUUGAAAAUCACCACCACCAGAAACCAUGAAACACCACCUAUGGUCCCUUGGGGUUCACUUACUACUUUUAUAAGCUGAAAAUCUAAUUAAGUUUUUUGCAUAAAACUGGUAAUGCUCUGACAGUGGGGGCAUUGUAGCAUGUUUGCUUCUUUUAUUGCCAGGCUGAGUGUGGAUGCAGAAGCAUGGGCUGCUUCAAAGUUAUUGUAGCAUUUCAGGACCACAAAUUAAUGGACUAAAAGGUAAUUUGCGUUUCGUGGUGGUUCAAGUUGGAAUUGGGGAUCUCAAGUGAUUGAAACCCAAAUGUUCGACGGAAGUCCUAAUAAAGGAAUUAUUUAUACAUGGCGUAAUUUGGGGUCUCAAUUCUUGCGAUCUAUAUAUAGAUGCUAUACAAGUUACUCCGGAACUGAAAACAUUUGUUUAGUUAUCUCAGUUAAUUUAUUCAGUACGAAAUUGAUCGGAAUGAAAAGGAAAGAAGAAACAAAUAUUUUCAUAGAUUUAUGGUUUUAUUAAGUUUUUAUUUUAUUUUUUAUUUAGAAGUCUUGUAGAUCUAGCCCUAAGGGGUAGUAGAGUUGGUAAGGGAUCUUUUGGUGAAAGUUGAAUGGUUCUCAUUCAAACCGGUAUAAUCCGGUCUAUGCAAUUGUGUGAUUAUUAUGGG
Molecule: long non-coding RNA, 912 nt
Organism: Macadamia integrifolia
Lineage: Eukaryota; Viridiplantae; Streptophyta; Magnoliopsida; Proteales; Proteaceae
Exons: 2
Source: RefSeq, a predicted model, not a curated record